GAUGAACGCUAGCUACAGGCUUAACACAUGCAAGUCGAGGGGCAGCAUGGUCUUAGCUUGCUAAGGCCGAUGGCGACCGGCGCACGGGUGAGUAACACGUAUCCAACCUGCCGUCUACUCUUGGACAGCCUUCUGAAAGGAAGAUUAAUACAAGAUGGCAUCAUGAGUCCGCAUGUUCACAUGAUUAAAGGUAUUCCGGUAGACGAUGGGGAUGCGUUCCAUUAGAUAGUAGGCGGGGUAACGGCCCACCUAGUCUUCGAUGGAUAGGGGUUCUGAGAGGAAGGUCCCCGACAUUGGAACUGAGACACGGUCCAAACUCCUACGGGAGGCAGCAGUGAGGAAUAUUGGUCAAUGGGGGCAGGCCUGAACCAGCCAAGUAGCGUGAAGGAUGACUGCCCUAUGGGUUGUAAACUUCUUUUAUAAAGGAAUAAAGUCGGGUAUGGAUACCCGUUUGCAUGUACUUUAUGAAUAAGGAUCGGCUAACUCCGUG
Molecule: ribosomal RNA, 490 nt
Filed under: uncultured bacterium
Lineage: Bacteria
Description: partial 16S ribosomal RNA
Rfam family: Bacterial small subunit ribosomal RNA
Source: RNAcentral